CUGUUCGCCAUUUAAAGUGGUACGCGAGCUGGGUUUAGAACGUCGUGAGACAGUUCGGUCCCUAUCUGCCGUGGGCGCUGGAGAACUGAGGGGGGCUGCUCCUAGUACGAGAGGACCGGAGUGGACGCAUCACUGGUGUUCGGGUUGUCAUGCCAAUGGCACUGCCCGGUAGCUAAAUGCGGAAGAGAUAAGUGCUGAAAGCAUCUAAGCACGAAACUUGCCCCGAGAUGAGUUCUCCCUGACCCUUUAAGGGUCCUGAAGGAACGUUGAAGACGACGACGUUGAUAGGCCGGGUGUGUAAGCGCAGCGAUGCGUUGAGCUAACCGGUACUAAUGAACCGUGAGGCUUAACCUUACAACGCCGAAGGUGUUU
This 372-nucleotide ribosomal RNA is filed under the name Escherichia coli. RNAcentral's name for it is "bacterial LSU rRNA". It matches the Rfam family "Bacterial large subunit ribosomal RNA", at positions 2577 to 2925 of the family's 2925-position model. Lineage: Bacteria; Pseudomonadati; Pseudomonadota; Gammaproteobacteria; Enterobacterales; Enterobacteriaceae. The record is from RNAcentral.